Molecule: long non-coding RNA, 275 nt
Organism: Neogale vison (American mink)
Lineage: Eukaryota; Metazoa; Chordata; Mammalia; Carnivora; Mustelidae
Exons: 3
Source: RefSeq, a predicted model, not a curated record
UUCAGGCCUGCUGGCUUUCAGACUGGAAUUUAUACAAUGCUUUCCUGAUUCUCAGGCUUUAGGACUCAAACUAGAGCUUCACUAUUUGAUCUCUCCUGACAUCUUCUCAACCUCCAAAAUCAUGGUGACUAUAAUGGCUUGACUCCUGCAGGAACUAAUUGAUUAAGGAAGACAGCACAACAGCUGUAUAGUUGGCCAUAGUGCUGAGGAGGAAAAUGCUGGAAGAGACGAGAAGAAGAAUUUGGUCAGGAGAUGGAGAUUGUGCAGAACCUCCA